RNAcentral lists this ribosomal RNA (520 nucleotides) under uncultured Shewanella sp. RNAcentral's name for it is "bacterial SSU rRNA". It matches the Rfam family "Bacterial small subunit ribosomal RNA", at positions 521 to 1036 of the family's 1533-position model. The record is from RNAcentral. Lineage: Bacteria; Pseudomonadati; Pseudomonadota; Gammaproteobacteria; Alteromonadales; Shewanellaceae.
UAAUACGGAGGGUCCGAGCGUUAAUCGGAAUUACUGGGCGUAAAGCGUGCGCAGGCGGUUUGUUAAGCGAGAUGUGAAAGCCCUGGGCUCAACCUAGGAAUAGCAUUUCGAACUGGCGAACUAGAGUCUUGUAGAGGGGGUAGAAUUCCAGGUGUAGCGGUGAAAUAGCGUAGAGAUCUGGAGGAAUACCGGUGGCGAAGGCGGCCCCCGUCGGACAAAGAACUGACGCUCAUGCACGAAAGACGUGGGGAGGCAAACAGGAUUAGAUACCCUGGUAGUCCACGCCGUAAACGAUGUCUACUCGGAGUUUGGUGUCUUGAACACUGGGCUCUCAAGCUAACGCAUUAGGUAGACCGCCUGGGAGUACGGCCGCAAGGUUAAAACUCAAAUGAAUUGACGGGGGCCCGCACAAGCGGUGGAGCAUGUGGUUUAAUUCGAUGCAACGCGAAGAACCUUACCUACUCUUGACAUCCACAGAAGAGACCAGAGAUGGACUUGUGCCUUCGGGAACUGUGAGACA